AUGCUAAUGAUCUGGUACGUAGUACUACUAUUACCCCUGAUUCCUGCUUUGGCAAGAUGUAAGCACCGUUGGCAAAAGAACAUCGGAAGGGCUAGGGCGAAAAACGCAGGCACCAAUGGAGAGGCUUUUGCAGAGGAGCUUCACUGGCAGGACUCCAAGAGAAGUUCAUGUGUGAAAUACUACAGAAAUAUCAGUAAGUUCCUUCCUUGGAUAUGCAGCAAACAAACAUUUCAGGCAAGCUGGGUACUAAUUGCUGUAGAGCAACAUCAAAGUAUAGAGGACCAAAUUGAGACUCAAGAGUUGAACUCCAGUACAUAG
This 318-nucleotide ribosomal RNA is filed under the name Triticum aestivum (bread wheat). RNAcentral's name for it is "partial small subunit ribosomal RNA". The record is from RNAcentral. Lineage: Eukaryota; Viridiplantae; Streptophyta; Magnoliopsida; Poales; Poaceae.